Molecule: unclassified non-coding RNA, 298 nt
Organism: Dipodomys ordii (Ord's kangaroo rat)
Lineage: Eukaryota; Metazoa; Chordata; Mammalia; Rodentia; Heteromyidae
Gene: 7SK
Rfam family: 7SK RNA
About the family: 7SK was discovered as an abundant small nuclear RNA in the mid-70s but a possible function has only recently been suggested.
Source: Ensembl
GGGUGUGAAGGUGAUCUGGCUGUGAUAUCCAUCACUCCAUUGAUCGCCAGGGUUGAUUUUGCUGAUCUGGCCGGCUAGGCGGGUGUUCCUUCCUCCAUCAUUUCUCCAUGAGCAUCUCUCCUGAAGGUGUGCACUCUGUCAAAGAGGAGCAGAUAGAGGACGGCUGUUCUUUGGGCAAGGGUGUACAAGCAGCUGCACCCCCCUGCUAAGAUCUGCAAACAAGCAUGCAAGGCCCAGAAGAACAAUGGGGCCUGUCUUUCAAACAGCCAGUGCUUGUUGCCCAAAGUGGCAAGACUCU